UGGAGAGAAGAUGACCUGGUGGGCAAGUCUCAUCUCUUUUCACCCGGCUGAAUGCUGGAUUUCAGAAAUAAUUACAGGAUCCAUAAAGCGAUGGAACAGCCUGUCUGGGAGAUGGGGAACAUGGAUCCUCUUGUUUGCCGUGCUUGCCCCAUUCAAUAACUACAAGUGACACUUCCUGUCCUCUGCUAGGAGAUGAAAUGAGUUUGGGAACAAAAGUCAUUCUCAAGCUGCCUGCACAGCUUUUGGCACAGCACUGAUGGAGAAUAGGUACUGCUCUGGCUGGACCAGCUCUGCCAUUUAGGUUCUACAAGUGGGACUUGUGACAAGAGAAUGAAGCCCAGUGCGAUUUUGCAGAGGCCAUCAGAAAUCCUGGGGACAUUCAGAAAUGCUCAGUUUGCCACCAAUUUCCUGCAGCUGACAGCACAUUUGCAUUGACCUUGGUGACAGUGCCAGCCUGGCAAAUGAAAAGGACAUGCAUCACUAAGAGGAGAAUUAAAUUUGCAAGGAAUGCCUUGUAUUU
Long non-coding RNA from Vidua chalybeata, 520 nucleotides. RefSeq lists it as uncharacterized. The transcript is spliced from 3 exons. The record is from RefSeq and is a predicted model, not a curated record. Lineage: Eukaryota; Metazoa; Chordata; Aves; Passeriformes; Viduidae.